Molecule: long non-coding RNA, 867 nt
Filed under: Marmota monax (woodchuck)
Lineage: Eukaryota; Metazoa; Chordata; Mammalia; Rodentia; Sciuridae
Source: RNAcentral
AUAUACCUUUUCAAAAGAAACUUUUCAAACAGUGUAUUUUAUCAAGCAUCCAUUUUAGAAGCCUUCACUCACCCCUAGGUGGCAGUGGAAGCAGAGGAACCUGCAUAGAAGAAAAGCAGCCAAACAUCCUUGGGUUACAGAAGCCCUGUUCUAAAUUGGGUCCUAGAAUUGUGUUGCUUACCUCUGCCCUACAGUUUCAUUUGUGAGGCAUUCCUAAGGUUUUUUUCCAGGCUAAUUCAGGUACCCAUAUAUGGAUUUAGAGAGAUGCUCAGUUGGGAUUUACACAGUUUUGUGUGGUCGACUUUAACAUUUAAAAAAUAGGAAACCUUAAUAUGGUUUAAAAAAGAAAAAAGGAAUAGGAGCAUUAGACUUGAACUGAGGUUGAGAAAAUUAUCCUUUGUGGGGUCCAGCACAUGGUCUGCUGCUGAGAGCUAGUGCCCUCAGGCAGGAUACCCAGGAAUACGAUGGCACUUAGCUUUUACAGCCAGUGAGAUGGCAUUGUGGCCCUUCUCUGCAACUGAAUUUAACAGAGGAAGUACUACAUGCUACCCCUGACUUCCUUGGAAUUUGUUUAGAGAUAAUAGUUAGGGGUGUUGUUUGGGACCUUUAUGUGGGUGGUACUGGGGAUUGAGCCCAUAAGCGUUCUGCCUCUGAGCUAUAUUCCCAGCCCUUCAUAAAAUUCUUUUUAAUUUUGAGACAGGGUCUCACUAAGUUGUUGAGGCUGGCCUUGAACUUAUGAUUCUCCUGCCUCAGCAGCCUCCUGAGGCAUGUACCAUUAUGCCUGGCGAGGGUCAUUUUUAACAAUAUACCAUACAUGCUUAAGGUUAGUGAGAGAAAGGAUAACUUUAGGGGUGAAGGGUGAAGAAC